Molecule: long non-coding RNA, 1479 nt
Filed under: Callithrix jacchus (white-tufted-ear marmoset)
Lineage: Eukaryota; Metazoa; Chordata; Mammalia; Primates; Cebidae
Description: lncRNA (ENSCJAG00000077020.1)
Source: RNAcentral
GCCAAGUUGAAAAUGUGGAAAAUAAGAGUUUAAAUAUUUGUUAAGUUUUAUCUGGAUCUAAGAUACUUCACUAUGAACCAGUCCUGCAGCUGUGCCAGCCUGCUGCAUCCCCUGCUGAUUUGCAUGUUCCCAGAGCACAACUUCCUGCCCUGAAGACUUACUAAUAGGUUAGUCACAUCCUGUGCAGGAGUCAGUCCCAGACAGGACACAGCAUGGACGUGAGGACCCCUUCUCAGCUCCUGGGGCUCCUGCUGCUCUGGCUCCCAAGUGAGGAAGGAGAACACUAGGAAUUUACUAAACCAGUGUGCUCAGUAUUGCCUGGUCAUUCAGGGAAAUCAUCUUAUACAUAAUUGUGUGAAUAUUUGUUUCUAUGUUUGUAGUCCCAGGAGUUAGAUGUGACAUCCAGAUGACCCAGUCUCCAUCCUCCCUGACUGCAUCUGUAGGAGACAGAGUCACUGUCUCUUGUGGGGAAGUCCAGAUGUCAAGAUGCUGACUUGACACAGCACCUCACCACAUGAUUCUUCAGUCUUCAUCUAAGUGAACAUGUUUGCCUACAAUUGUCAAAGAAUAUUGAAUAACCUUCUUCCUACCUUCAAAUAUGAUGAGAAGGCUUCUCUUUGAGUAACUCUACAAGAAACUAUAGAGGGUUAAAUGGGUUUUGGGAAAGGUGCUUUUAGAAAUCAUGAUAAAUAUAAGGAAUUGGGAGGUGACAGCCAAGUAGGAGAAGUAUUUCCCCAAAUCUCAAUUUUCCAGAUAUGAGGUGGCUUCAGAAUGUGUUUGGAUGUGUUUACACAUAUUAAAUGAAAGUCUGGUAUUAUUACUAAAAACUUUAUUAAGUCUUAUAGUAAAAGGAAAAAAUGACAAAAUUGCUUAGAAUAUAUAGCAAUCCUUUGACAAAUGAAAAAAACUUUUUUGACAAAACAAAUAAAAACACCUGUAGGUGCAUGUAGUAUACUUUUUCCUUAAUACAAAAGCACAUUGCUACUUAAAAUUUGUCCAGAUUCCAGUGGCAUUCUCAGCGUCACCAUGAACACAUUACAAAGUAGCAGAUGUACCUUAGAUAUUAUUGCAUGAUAACUGCACUUCCACAGGUGAGAGGUAAUGUAUGAGUGCUUUAAGAAGUCAAGUUUUCAAAGACAUUUACUUUAGCUAAAGAGUUCUUUUUCCUACAGUGAGACAUUUAUGUUAAAACAAGUUAAAAAUAUAUACCGCCUUAUAUCUAACUAAUGCAAAAUUACAUUGGAAAAUAUUUGUAAUAUUCUAAAAGUUGAAAAACAUAAUUUUUUAUCAAUGGAUCAAAUACUUUGAUAGUUAAAUGCAGUAAAUAUUUUAGAAACUUUAGGAAUUAACACAGUGAAAUGAUAAAUUAAAACUGUGUUCACUGUAUUACAAAAGAUUGGGCUUAUAUUUGCCUGGUAAGUUUUGUUUGAAAAUUGUAUUUCUUUUUGCUGCCUGACACACAAAUGUUGUGCCUUGGCU